RNAcentral lists this ribosomal RNA (254 nucleotides) under uncultured bacterium. RNAcentral's name for it is "partial 16S ribosomal RNA". It matches the Rfam family "Bacterial small subunit ribosomal RNA", at positions 524 to 776 of the family's 1533-position model. The record is from RNAcentral.
UACGUAGGGUGCAAGCGUUAAUCGGAAUUACUGGGCGUAAAGCGCACGCAGCGGUUCGCCAAGUUUUGGAGUGACAGUUGUCGGCUCAACCGACAAAGGACUUCAAAAACUGGUGAACUUGAGGAUGAGAGAGGUGAGUGGAAUUCCCAGUGUAGAGGUGAAAUUCGUAGAUAUUGGGAAGAACACCGGUGGCGAAGGCGGCUCACUGGCUCAUUUCUGACGCUCAGGCGCGACAGCGUGGGGAUCAAAACAGG